RNAcentral lists this ribosomal RNA (320 nucleotides) under uncultured Actinomycetes bacterium. RNAcentral's name for it is "bacterial SSU rRNA". It matches the Rfam family "Bacterial small subunit ribosomal RNA", at positions 28 to 351 of the family's 1533-position model. Lineage: Bacteria; Bacillati; Actinomycetota; Actinomycetes. The record is from RNAcentral.
GACGAACGCUGGCGGCGUGCUUAACACAUGCAAGUCGAGCGGUAAGGCCCUUCGGGGUACACGAGCGGCGAACGGGUGAGUAACACGUGAGCAAUCUGCCCUUCACUUUGGGAUAACCACCGGAAACGGUGGCUAAUACCGAAUAUGACCACUUCCUGCAUGGGAUGGUGGUGGAAAGUUCCGGCGGUGGAGGAUGAGCUCGCGGCCUAUCAGCUUGUUGGUGGGGUAAUGGCCUACCAAGGCAACGACGGGUAGCCGGCCUGAGAGGGUGACCGGCCACACUGGGACUGAGACACGGCCCAGACACCUACGGGUGGCUG